This 210-nucleotide long non-coding RNA is filed under the name Lathyrus oleraceus (garden pea). Its description in RNAcentral is "Pisum sativum (pea) long non-coding RNA (PSAT_LNC008122)". Lineage: Eukaryota; Viridiplantae; Streptophyta; Magnoliopsida; Fabales; Fabaceae. The record is from RNAcentral.
CUAGCUAUAGGAUUUGCUUGUUUGGAUGUGGCUAUCUUUAUUUAAUGCCUUGAUCUUCACGAUGUCUGAUAUUUUUCAUUGCUUAUUGAUGAUUGCUUGAUUAAAGUCCAAAGGGAAAGUGGGUUUUCUAUAUGGCAUCUUGUCUGUUGCAUUGCAUCCCAUUGGUGAGAUCUUUUCAACUCUUAACUUUUAAUUUGUGCUUAGGAUAGC